Molecule: ribosomal RNA, 460 nt
Filed under: uncultured bacterium
Lineage: Bacteria
Description: partial 16S ribosomal RNA
Rfam family: Bacterial small subunit ribosomal RNA
Source: RNAcentral
CCUACGGGUGGCAGCAGUGAGGAAUAUUGGUCAAUGGACGAGAGUCUGAACCAGCCACGUAGCGUGAAGGAUGACUGCCCUAUGGGUUGUAAACUUCUUUUAUAUGGGAAUAAAAUGUUCCACGUGUGGGAUUUUGUAUGUACCAUAUGAAUAAGGAUCGGCUAACUCCGCGCCAGCAGCCGCGGUAAUACGGAGGAUCCGAGCGUUAUCCGGAUUUAUUGGGUUUAAAGGGAGCGUAGGUGGAUUGUUAAGUCAGUUGUGAAAGUUUGCGGCUUAACCGUAGAAUUGCAGUUGAAAAUGGCAGUCUUGAGUACAGGAGAGGUGGGCGGAAUUCGUGGUGUAGCGGUGAAAUGCGUAGAGAUCACGAAGAACUCAGAUUGCGAAGGCAGUUCACUGGACUGCAACUGACACUGAGGCUCGAAAGUGUGGGUAUCAAACAGGAUUAGAUACCCCAGUAGUC